Molecule: long non-coding RNA, 425 nt
Filed under: Nicotiana benthamiana
Lineage: Eukaryota; Viridiplantae; Streptophyta; Magnoliopsida; Solanales; Solanaceae
Description: long non-coding RNA (NBEN_LNC022018)
Source: RNAcentral
UUUGCUCACUUUGGUUCUCUGAUUUCUUCUUCAUCUUUGUUUGAUUUCAUACAAUCUAACAUGAUAGCAGAUCAUUAUAAUGAAAGAUCUGGUGUAAUCUUUGAAUUUUAGUACCUUAAUUUCCUUGUCCGUUCCUAUUUUAAGAAAGUUGGAAAAACCUAAUUUCUUAUUCUUUGAUUUUUUUGUUCUUUGGAGAUUCUGGCACAAAAUUUUUAAAGUUUUAUGAUGAAUUCGGUGUUUUUGAAGUCUAUUAUGGAUGAAGUUUGUGAUUUAGCGGGUAUUUUUAAUCAAUCUGUGGAUUAAAGUAGUGGUUGCUCGGUGGUACUUGACGGCAACAAGCUCAUUUUUGCCGAUUUAUAAGUUUUCUCUUUGAUUAUGUGUUUCGAAGGAUUAUCCUGCUUUUUGGUAACCUUUUUCGCUUCGGC